RNAcentral lists this ribosomal RNA (501 nucleotides) under Cohnella sp. AR92. RNAcentral's name for it is "bacterial SSU rRNA". It matches the Rfam family "Bacterial small subunit ribosomal RNA", at positions 1 to 478 of the family's 1533-position model. The record is from RNAcentral. Lineage: Bacteria; Bacillati; Bacillota; Bacilli; Caryophanales; Paenibacillaceae.
CCUUUAUGGAGAGUUUGAUCCUGGCUCAGGACGAACGCUGGCGGCGUGCCUAAUACAUGCAAGUCGAGCGGAUCUUCUUGAGUAGCUUGCUACUCAAGAAGGUUAGCGGCGGACGGGUGAGUAACACGUAGGCAACCUGCCCAUAAGACCGGGAUAACAUUCGGAAACGAAUGCUAAGACCGGAUACGCAAGAAGGCGGCAUCGCUUUCUUGGGAAACACGGUGCAAGCUGUGGCUUAUGGAUGGGCCUGCGGCGCAUUAGCUAGUUGGUGGGGUAACGGCCUACCAAGGCGACGAUGCGUAGCCGACCUGAGAGGGUGAACGGCCACACUGGGACUGAGACACGGCCCAGACUCCUACGGGAGGCAGCAGUAGGGAAUCUUCCACAAUGGGCGCAAGCCUGAUGGAGCAACGCCGCGGGAGGGAGGAAGGCUUGCGGGUCGUAAAGCUAUGUUGCCAGGGAAGAAAAAGGGCCAGUUAAGUGCUGGUCCGAUGACGGUAC